GAUGAAGAACGUAGCGAAAUGCGAUAAGUAAUGCGAAUUGCAGAAUUCAGUGAAUCAUCGAAUCUUUGAACGCACAUUGCGCCCGCCAGUAUUCUGGCGGGCAUGCCUGUCUGAGCGUCGUUUCGACCCUCGCGCCCGGCUUCUGUCGGGGGCGGUUUUGGGGAUCGGCCACACCCUUCAGUGGGAGGCCGGCCCCUAAAUUCAGUGGCGACCACGCUGUAGCCUCCCCUGCGUAGUACUAAAACCACCUCGCAGGCGGAGAGCGGUGAGGCCCGCCGUAAAACCCCCCAACUUUUACAAGGUCGACCUCAGAUCAGGUAGGAAUACCCGCUGAACUUAAGCAUAUCAAUAAGCGGAGGA
This 360-nucleotide unclassified non-coding RNA is filed under the name soil metagenome. Its description in RNAcentral is "partial contains 5.8S ribosomal RNA, internal transcribed spacer 2, and large subunit ribosomal RNA". The stretch from base 1 to 120 matches the Rfam family "5.8S ribosomal RNA", at positions 35 to 154 of the family's 154-position model. The record is from RNAcentral.